UACGGGGGGGGCAAGCGUUGUUCGGAAUUACUGGGCGUAAAGGGCGCGUAGGCGGUUUGCUAAGUUGAAUGUGAAAACUCUGGGCUUAACCCAGAGCCUGCAUUCAAUACUGGCAGACUAGAGUUCUGGAGGGGAUAGCGGAAUUCCUGGUGUAGCGGUGAAAUUCGUAGAUAUUAGGAAGAACACCAGUGGCGAAGGCGGCUCACUGGCCCGGUACUGACGCUGAGGCGCGAAAGCGUGGGGAGCAAACAGG
RNAcentral lists this ribosomal RNA (253 nucleotides) under uncultured bacterium. RNAcentral's name for it is "partial 16S ribosomal RNA". It matches the Rfam family "Bacterial small subunit ribosomal RNA", at positions 524 to 776 of the family's 1533-position model. The record is from RNAcentral.